ACGAGACUAGAGGGCAACUUUUAGUUUAGUGGCGAAAGGGUUAGUAAUACAUGAAUAACUUACCCCUUACCUGGGGAUAACGACUGGAAACAGGCGCUAAUACCGAAUGAGGUACCGAUAAAUAAUUAUUGGCUAUCAAAGUGGGGGACCUUGUAAAGAGGCCUUGCGGUAAAGGAUAGGUUCAUGGGAUAUCAGCUAGUUGGUGUGGUAAUGGCGCACCAAGG
RNAcentral lists this ribosomal RNA (224 nucleotides) under uncultured Simkania sp. RNAcentral's name for it is "partial 16S ribosomal RNA". It matches the Rfam family "Bacterial small subunit ribosomal RNA", at positions 66 to 273 of the family's 1533-position model. The record is from RNAcentral. Lineage: Bacteria; Pseudomonadati; Chlamydiota; Chlamydiia; Parachlamydiales; Simkaniaceae.